GGGUCAGUAGGUUGGUCGUGCCACCGGUACGUACUGGUCUCACUGAUUCCUCCUUCCUGAAGAACCGUAAUGCCAUUAAUUUGGUGUUGCGGGGAAACAGGACUGUUACUUUGAAAAGAUUAGAGCGUUUAAAGCAAGCUAACGCUUGAAUACAUUAGCAUGGAAUAAUGAAAUAGGACGAUCGAUCCUAUUUUGUUGGUUUCUAGGAUUGACGUA
Molecule: ribosomal RNA, 216 nt
Filed under: Glomeromycotina sp.
Lineage: Eukaryota; Fungi; Glomeromycota
Description: partial small subunit ribosomal RNA
Rfam family: Eukaryotic small subunit ribosomal RNA (bases 40-216)
Source: RNAcentral